GCUUUCCAUGCAGUCGAGCGGCAGCGCGGGGCAACCUGGCGGCGAGCGGCGAACGGGUGAGUAACACAUCGGAACGUACCCAGUUGUGGGGGAUAGCCCGGCGAAAGCCGGAUUAAUACCGCAUACGACCUGAGGGUGAAAGUGGGGGAUCGCAAGACCUCACGCAGUUGGAGCGGCCGAUGGCGGAUUAGCUAGUUGGUAGGGUAAAGGCCUACCAAGGCGACGAUCCGUAGCGGGUCUGAGAGGACGACCCGCCACACUGGAACUGAGACACGGUCCAGACUCCUACGGGAGGCAGCAGUGGGGAAUUUUGGACAAUGGGGGCAACCCUGAUCCAGCCAUUCCGCGUGAGUGAAGAAGGCCUUCGGGUUGUAAAGCUCUUUCGGCAGGAACGAAACGGUCUUUUCUAAUACAAGAGGCUAAUGACGGUACCUGAAGAAGAAGCACCGGCUAACUACGUGCCAGCAGCCGCGGUAAUACGUAGGGUGCGAGCGUUAAUCGGAAUUACUGGGCGUAAAGCGUGCGCAGGCGGUUCUAUAAGACAGAUGUGAAAUCCCCGGGCUUAACCUGGGAACUGCGUUUGUGACUGUAGGACUUGAGUGUGGCAGAGGGGGUAGAAUUUCCACGUGUAGCAGUGAAAUGCGUAGAGAUGUGGAGGAAUACCGAUGGCGAAGGCAGCCCCCUGGGUCAACACUGACGCUCAUG
RNAcentral lists this ribosomal RNA (705 nucleotides) under uncultured bacterium. Its description in RNAcentral is "bacterial SSU rRNA". It matches the Rfam family "Bacterial small subunit ribosomal RNA", at positions 46 to 751 of the family's 1533-position model. The record is from RNAcentral.